This 293-nucleotide ribosomal RNA is filed under the name uncultured bacterium. Its description in RNAcentral is "partial 16S ribosomal RNA". It matches the Rfam family "Bacterial small subunit ribosomal RNA", at positions 333 to 641 of the family's 1533-position model. The record is from RNAcentral.
CAAGUCCUACGGGGGGCAGCAGUGGGGAAUAUUGGGCAAUGGGCGCAAGCCUGACCCAGCAACGCCGCGUGAAGGAAGAAGGCUUUCGGGUUGUAAACUUCUUUUCUCAGGGACGAACAGAUGACGGUACCUGAGGAAUAAGCCACGGUUAACUACGUGCCAGCAGCCGCGGUAAUACGUAGGUGGCAAGCGUUAUCCGGAUUUACUGGGUGUAAAGGGCGUGUAGGCGGGGACGCAAGUCAGAUGUGAAAACCACGGGCUCAACCUGUGGCCUGCAUUUGAAACUGUGGUUC